This is a long non-coding RNA of Brienomyrus brachyistius, 1814 nucleotides long. RefSeq lists it as uncharacterized. The record is from RefSeq and is a predicted model, not a curated record. Lineage: Eukaryota; Metazoa; Chordata; Actinopteri; Osteoglossiformes; Mormyridae. The transcript has 3 exons.
CCCACAACCUCCAGCACUGCCUGCUCUUGAGAGAGUGCGACAGCCACGGCACUGAAGGAUUAAAUUCUGGAUGAAGAAGAAAAAGCAGACAGAGGAAGCAGUGUUUUUAAUCGGACUUGGGGAAAAAAAAGACAGGAAAGCAGGAAAGAACAGCAGCAGGUCUGGACUGCGGAGGCAGAGAUUCCCAGACCUCCCUCUCCACAAUCUGCUCAUCCAGAGUGAUUCUGAGGGAUUCCCAUGCCAGCCAAGAGAUAUAAUCUCAAGUGUGCCCUGGGUCCACCCCAAAGUCUCCUCCAGGUUGGUCAUGCCCUGAGGACCUCCCCAGGAGGGACAUCCCAUGUAAUUUAAAAAAUAAUAAUUGCCGUGAUGGUCUGGCAGCCCAGCUGGCUCCCUUACACCUUCAGGAUCAGAGGUGCUCCUGUGUCCCGCAGUCUGAAAUCACGCAACCAGGCAAAUGGGUGCCACCAAGUUCCCUUUUGUGCGUGACGGUGUGCUCUGUCAUGGACUAGCCUUACAUCCAGGAUGUCCCCCUGUCUCAUGCCAGAACUGGGAGAGGCUCUGCACUCAAUGUGACAUCGUACUGGAAGCAGCUAUGGAGGAUGGAUGCAUGGGUGUAAAUUAUGGGGGAGCUGUAACCCCUCCAGUAGUUAAAAUCAGCCAAUACAACCACCUGAACCCCCUUCAGUGGGUGGAGACCUCAACCCCCCCCCCCCCCCCCAAUGGCCAACACAAAGUUAUGUUCUUGGUUUGAUGUUUUAAUGUGACACUAGACAGCAUGAUUAUCAACAUUAUUAUCCUGAGCUUCGAGAAGAAAGUUGGGGGUCACAAGUCUGAAAUCGAGGUUUGCUGCCAAACCUCUGCAAUGAGCCAUGCCAGGUCAACCUAUGCUCUUAUUGCUCUUUCAGACGCAUGUAUAGAAAAAGACUUCACCUGUUUCUCUGCCUGACUUCACCCAAGAGCUCAGUUCGAAAGCAUAGCCCAUUAGGGGUGGAUAUUUGUAAUAAAAAUGAUAAAAGGAGACUUCUUAUAUAUUACACUGCAAUCGAAAGAGAGCUCAUUGGCUGACACAUGCAGUUAAGGAACGUAGAUGGUAUAACUAAAAUCACCACCUCUACACACCAAAUGGGCAACUUUCUCGCCACCUUAUCCAUACUCAAAAAUACAUAAACAAACGUAAUUCCCUAAAAAUGUUUCUCCGGAGGUGAUUCCCAACCACUGUUUUUAGCCCGGUGUAUUUUUAAAUCACAUGGACACCGCACACACUUUGAAUAUAAAUUCCUGACAAGACUCUCUUGCAAUUUUAUAUGUUCGAGUGUAACAGCAACCCUCAUGGUUUGAGAUGCCUAAACCAUUAAAUCACUAAAGCACCUCCCUAAACAUCAGACCACUAUAGGUCUAUUUUUAAAAUUUCCUCCCUUCGUGGGGUUUGAACCUGGAAGCUUUAUAAAUCACGCUUGUCCCUCUUUACCCAGAACCCCGCACUGCCUCUUCACACAUGUUAUGCUGACUGGAGGCAGGCAGACUGUCUAAAAUAAUGAGUGGGGGGGGGGGGGUAGUUGUGAACUUUCAAGCAGAAUCCAAUCUAAUUAGAAAUCAGUGAGUAAAGAUUUCACAACUUUCUACUUUGCACAUACAACACAUUAUUAAUUUGGAUGGAUGUCAUUGUUUCUCCAUACUGUCUAAAUAAUAUUUUAUUUUUCAUUUUUUUGUUAUUGUAAAAAUGAGAUGUCUGUCGACUGCAUGCACGACUACCUACUUAUAGCAUCUGCCUGGCACAAUGAAUUUUGGGUAAUUAAAAUGGCUGAGCAGAGUCA